RNAcentral lists this ribosomal RNA (400 nucleotides) under uncultured bacterium. Its description in RNAcentral is "bacterial SSU rRNA". It matches the Rfam family "Bacterial small subunit ribosomal RNA", at positions 355 to 768 of the family's 1533-position model. The record is from RNAcentral.
UCGAGAAUAAUUGUCAAUGCACGAAAGUGUGAACAUGCAAUGCCGCGUGCAGGAUGAAGGCCCUCGGGUCGUAAACUGCUUUUCUACGGGAAGAACUACGGUGACGGUACCGUGGGAAUAAGAGGUUACUAACUCUGUGCCAGCAGUAGCGGUAAUACAGAGACCUCAAGCGUUAUCCGGAUUUAUUGGGCGUAAAGGGUGCGUAGGCGGAUCUAUUAGUCAGAUGUCAAAUCCUUCGGCUCAACCGAAGAACCGCAUUUGAAACGGUAGGUCUUGAGAAUGUGAGAGAUCAGUGGAAUUCAUGGUGUAGUAGUGAAAUGCGUUGAUAUCAUGAAGAACAUCCAAGGCGAAGGCAGCUGAUUGGCACAUUUCUGACGCUGAGGCACGAAAGCGUGGGGAG